RNAcentral lists this long non-coding RNA (2100 nucleotides) under Nicotiana tabacum (common tobacco). RNAcentral describes it as "long non-coding RNA (NTAB_LNC015871)". The record is from RNAcentral. Lineage: Eukaryota; Viridiplantae; Streptophyta; Magnoliopsida; Solanales; Solanaceae.
GCAUCAGUGGAAGACAAUGACAUAUCCAUAACCACAUGGUCCUGUCGUCCAACUAAUUGACAUUAUUUAUUACUUCAGCUCAUAUAAGUUCAAGAACAAUAGGUCCUACAUUUUUCUCCUACAUGGAACAAAGGAUUUCUUAGAAUCAAAUCCAUAAAUAUGAUGUGGUGCCAUAUGAUGAUUCAUUGGACCAAAACAUACCCCAGAUGGAAACUAUGUGUCCAUUUAUAUAAGAAUAUUAAGAGCAAACAAGUCAAUCAUAUGUACGAUUUCACUGGUGGAGAGGCAUUUGUUGCACUGUUGAUUGACAAUAGCAGAUGAAGUAUCACAUGGUUUUGUUUUCCAACUCAUUGUCAAAUACAUAUACCAUUGCUGCCCUACUGUUUUUCAUGAAAAGAUCGAGAACACAGGAUCUUUAGAAAUCAACUUGAUAACAUUGAGUAAUUGUCAAUACAGGAUCUUUCGAGAUCAGACUGAUAAUAACAGGUAAUUGUCUUGUUAUGAUUCAGGUCUGGACCACUUGGUCUGCAAUUACAAAUAAAUUUACUGCAAUAUCUAACAACUUGUUUGGUCCCUCAUGCUAAGUCAUUAUGUAGGAUCAACUUUCCAUAUCAGAAUUACCUAAAUUAUUUCAGCAGAUUUUGUGAAAUGUUUCACUAAUCGUAGAGAACAAAUUUUUUUUACUGGCUAUCAACAUGUCUGUGUCUAUGUUAUGCAGAUAUUCAUUAAAUUAUGAGUCAUAACCUUAUUAAUGCCAGAAAUUUGAGUAAAUAUUCAAGAAAAUUACUGAUAUUAUUCUUAUUAAGAGAAAAUUUUUGCAUUCAUUUUCUGUUGCAUUCAGUUGCACUCAGUACUUCCACAAUGCUGCAGCUCUAGUACAUAUUGGGUUAUCAUUUUAUCAACAUGGUAGUGAUCAUAAUGUCAUUAACUGAAGGGGUUAUGCCACUUUAGAAGACUAGAUUCUAGUUCAUUCUGAUUAUAAGUAAACCAUGAGAGUUGAGAAAAAAAAAUUCUACUGCUAUGAAUUGAUUACAUCAAUAUAUGGAAAUAGAAUGGAGCAAUAGAAGUAAAAAGGUUCAUUCUUCAAUUUCUAUUGAAGUAGAAAAAUGUGUCCUUAGUCAAGAGACAAAAGAAUGACAUCCAUUCUUUAUGUAGCUAAACUCAUUAAAUCUAACUAGUAUUUCUUCCUCGCCUGAACUGUACACAGUGGAGAUCCUGCUUUAUAGCUUUACAAAAUUGUGUAAGCAAAAAAAGGGGGCUAAUUUCCUUGUCACUUCCUCAAGCGAGAUGUGAGAUCAACGAAAAAGUCUUCACUGCAUGGAAUUGUGAGACCACCCAUUGGAUGAUCAAAGCCAAAUUCUUCCUCAGCUUGACUAAGCAAGUUUUGAAAUGCCGGUUGACUCAAAAAUGAUAUAGGUAUUACAACUCUCUUCUUUUGCUUCUCCCCAACAUACACAGCAAAGUGGCCCUUGGGAACAUCUCCACUUGUCGAAGACUUCUUGAUCAUACGAAGAAUUGCCAUGGUCUUUUAGUUUUAGUAAGAAAGAAAGAAUUACUAAAGAACUCAAAAGCAGAGAAAACUUUCAAUACUUUCAAGUUUGGUGAGAGCUACACCUCUUUGAAUAUGUUUAUAUAGGCAAUGGCAAUUCAUAGAACACAGCUGAUAUGUGUUGAAUAGGAAUUUGUGGACACCAGCAGAAGACAAUGUCACUGAAGUAUCACAUGCUUUUGUCUUCCAAUUAUUAAUAACUUUGCACUAUUAGUUCAAGAACAAUAGGCCCUACCUUUUCUUCAAAGCAUAGAUGAAGCCUUGAGCUAUUCAUGCCUGUACCACUCGGCCAAGUGCUUCCUAGCUUUGUCCAAACUUAGUGCAAAUUAACAUUAGGCCUUAAUUCAUGGACAACAGGUCCUACCUUUUCAUUGAACCUGGAACAAGAGUAUCCUUCAAAAUCAACUUGCUAAAGAGGAAUUGUACUACCAUGUGAUUAAUUAUGUCUAGAUACACAUCCCCGAAAAUUAGUAGAUGUUAACAUGGUUUUGUUGUAAGUAUUAUCCUUGAGGAAAUAAAAUAAUCUUCUAUCACCCUACUUUCCAACUUCC